UACGUAGGCAGCGAGCGUUGUUCGGAAUUACUGGGCGUAAAGAGUGUGUAGGCGGUGCUCCCAGUCUGUUGUGAAAUCUCCCGGCUUAACUGGGAGGGUGCAGCGGAAACUAGAGUGCUAGAGGGUGGGAGAGGUAAGCGGAAUUCCUGGUGUAGCGGUGAAAUGCGUAGAUAUAGGAAGGAACACCAGUGGCGAAGGCGACCACCUGGACUGAUACUGACACUGAGGUGCGAAAGCGUGGGGAGCAAACAGG
RNAcentral lists this ribosomal RNA (253 nucleotides) under uncultured bacterium. RNAcentral describes it as "partial 16S ribosomal RNA". It matches the Rfam family "Bacterial small subunit ribosomal RNA", at positions 524 to 776 of the family's 1533-position model. The record is from RNAcentral.